This 247-nucleotide unclassified non-coding RNA is filed under the name Hevea brasiliensis (rubber tree). Lineage: Eukaryota; Viridiplantae; Streptophyta; Magnoliopsida; Malpighiales; Euphorbiaceae. The record is from RNAcentral.
GGCGAGGUGAGUCUCAGAAAUAAUCUCAACUUAACUAAAUAAAUAUGGAUUUUUUUCCCCUCAUGUUUGGUCUGAUACAAGUGACUGAAUAGCACUAGAAAGCUUUGUAACAGCCACAACAAGAUUGGCCAUUCCUUCACGAUUCACUUCAUUUCUUGUCUCUUCAAGCUGAAGCCUACGUUGCUCGAACUCCAUCAGUUCUUGAUGUCGCUUGUCUUUAUUCUCUUCGCAGUUUCUGAUUGUUUGG